AAAUUUGAAAGCUGGCUCCUUCGGGGUCCGCAUUGUAAUUUGCAGAGGAUGCUUCGGGAGUGGCCCCCAUCUAAGUGCCCUGGAACGGGCCGUCAUAGAGGGUGAGAAUCCCGUCUGGGAUGGGGUGUCCACGCCCGUGUGAAGCUCCUUCGACGAGUCGAGUUGUUUGGGAAUGCAGCUCUAAAUGGGUGGUAAAUUUCAUUUAAAGCUAAAUACUGGCCGGAGACCGAUAGCGCACAAGUAGAGUGAUCGAAAGAUGAAAAGCACUUUGAAAAGAGAGUUAAACAGCACGUGAAAUUGUUGAAAGGGAAGCGCUUGCGACCAGACUCGCCCCCGGGGUUCAGCCGGCAUUCGUGCCGGUGUACUUCCCCGCGGGCGGGCCAGCGUCGGUUUGGGCGGCCGGUCAAA
RNAcentral lists this ribosomal RNA (408 nucleotides) under Penicillium sp. RNAcentral's name for it is "LSU rRNA". It matches the Rfam family "Eukaryotic large subunit ribosomal RNA", at positions 111 to 523 of the family's 3401-position model. The record is from RNAcentral. Lineage: Eukaryota; Fungi; Ascomycota; Eurotiomycetes; Eurotiales; Aspergillaceae.